CCUCUGUCCCUUCCCCCACCUCCCGGAAAAGCCAGCAAGAGCCGUGCAAUCUUCAAAGGGAGCGCGGCUCUUGGGGGCUUUUCCGGGAGCUGGGGGAAGGGACAGAGG
This is a non-coding RNA of Podarcis lilfordi (Lilford's wall lizard), 108 nucleotides long. The record is from the annotation of a GenBank genome assembly. Lineage: Eukaryota; Metazoa; Chordata; Lepidosauria; Squamata; Lacertidae.